This 77-nucleotide transfer RNA is filed under the name Nitrosomonadales bacterium. RNAcentral describes it as "tRNA-Glu". It matches the Rfam family "tRNA". Rfam says of the family: Transfer RNA (tRNA) molecules are approximately 80 nucleotides in length. Their secondary structure includes four short double-helical elements and three loops (D, anti-codon, and T loops). Further hydrogen bonds mediate the characteristic L-shaped molecular structure. tRNAs have two regions of fundamental functional importance: the anti-codon, which is responsible for specific mRNA codon recognition, and the 3' end, to which the tRNAs corresponding amino acid is attached (by aminoacyl-tRNA synthetases). tRNAs cope with the degeneracy of the genetic code in two manners: having more than one tRNA (with a specific anti-codon) for a particular amino acid; and 'wobble' base-pairing, i.e. permitting non-standard base-pairing at the 3rd anti-codon position. The record is from RNAcentral. RNAcentral also lists the same sequence under 1 other name. Lineage: Bacteria; Pseudomonadati; Pseudomonadota; Betaproteobacteria; Nitrosomonadales.
GGACUAUUCGUCUAGGUGGUUAGGACGUCACCCUUUCAAGGUGAAAACGUAGGGUUCGAGUCCCACAUGGUCUACCA